AGUCAAAUCUGGGUGAACUGUGAAGUGUGCAGCAAAAGUCGCAAAAGUUAGAAAAUGAAGAAAGCAAACAAUAAACUUGAUUUUGUACAGUAAUUAAUAAUUAAUAUUUUCUAAAAUGAGAUAAAAUGCACUCAAAACUACAAUUUCACCAAAAUGUUCAGUUACGACGUCAAAUUUCUAACGAGUGACGAUUCCAUUUAUUUAAAAAACACCGAAUUCAAAAGUUUGAAGUAUGAAACUAAGAAAAAGGUUGAGGAAUCAGUCCACGAUAAUGGAAAAAGAAGUUUUUGCGAACGACGUGGUGGACUUUGGUGGACGACACGACCAAGACAACUUCGUCAAUUAGAAUCCAAGCUCCGCGAUAGAAAUAUAGUGUACAGUGAAUGGACUACAGAUUCCCUAUGUACCUUAGUAUUUUCUUCAGGGGUCAUAGCAUAUAUCACAGUAAAAUGCAGUACUUUAGAUGUGACCCAUAUAUUAUUUGAUAGAUAUUGUAUUGGCAAACUCAAUGGGCAAAUGGUUACAGGUGUUGUUUUGUGUAAAUCACUCCUGUUGUUCACCCAUGCUGAUAAGACAGGCACAUUGAUCACUUUUGGCAAAAAUAAUUUUAACAGUCUUCCCAUACAAAUCUCAGAUAGAGAUCCACAUUUGCAGAUAAUAGAUCUAGGUGGUAGUGCAAGAAGAGCAGAUCGGCGGGUGUCCUCGUGUGAAACACCCAGCUAUGUCCGAGUGUUAGUAUGGGGUGCCAGUGUGAUUGAGCCUGCGCCAUGGAGUCCCGUACUUGAAGAUCAUGCCAACUUACACUUGUACCAGAUAAGUGGGCAACAAGUGACAUUAAUAGCAUACCACCAGCUAGAGAAUGAAGUUCUGUUUGCUGAACUUUCACAUAAAUAUGAUCACAUAGUGCAUAUUGUUGAACAAACUGCUUGUCACAAGAAUGGAGUAACUUUGACAUGGUUACGAUACGAAAUACCCGAAGGAGAAACUAGACUAAAAAAACUAUCUACCCUGAGUGAGAACGUAACGCGAGUGUCGUUACCCGCGCCUGCGCGAGUCGCGCGACGAGCGCCCUGCGACUCCAGGCUGCUCGUCUCUUGUAUAGACGCCUCAAUACACGUCGCACAUCACAUUGUAGGCCUCACCCAUUCCACGAGAGCUGGGUUUAUAGCCACGGACGUGCGAUGGGCGGGCGAGCUGAUAGUGGCUACAGAGGAAGCAGGCAGGCUGCAGUGUUUUGAUCGUGCUCUUUCGUUGUUACACCACCACACUAAAUGCUUGGAUCUCACUUCUUACAUGCGGGAUGCAAAACGUUUACAAAUAUUGGCAAGCCUGACUCUAAGAGGUGGGCCUCUUAUUCUGGCCUCAUUUACCAGAGGGCCCUUGACGCUUCUCCGAAUAACACACGCGCGUUUACUAUCAGCAUGGAUACGAUCUUGUCGUACGUCGAACGCGGUAGCUUUACUUCGGGCACUUGACUGGGAGGAGGAAGGUGCGGAAUGCCUCAACGCAAUCAGUGAAAUAGUACGCAACGCGCUCCGAAAGGGCGCGCUAGGGGAGAGUGGGGAAAUGGUGCAAAUGGCCUUAGGUGCGUACUUGGCGCCGACUGUUCCUCUGCCGGCCAUGGCUGCCAAGUAUGCGCCUGCUGUACACGACUUGGCUAGAAAAUUCUUCCAUCACUUGCUCAGACGCGGUCGUAUCGAGAAGGCGCUUAGCCUGGCGGUAGACUUGGCGGCAUGGGACUUGUUCGUGGACGCGCGCUGCGCCGCCAAGCGACUCAACCUGCCUCAGCUCGUGGAGGAGGCCAACACUUGCGCGGCACACUAUGCACGGUUGGACAGAACUAAUUCAGAAUGUUCCGAAUCAUGUUCACAAUGCAGUUCACAUUCAUACUCCGGUUCGGACGAUGAAUCGAGUUUGUCUUCCAAAGCGAUCAAAAGUAACCCCCCGCCGCUGCCACGAGUCCCUCUACCUCCGCACCCCUCCAUCCUCACCGUCCCUAUAACCCAAAAUGAACCAUAUAAGGCAAACAGCAUUCGGCCAAACCUACACCAAUAUCUAGAACGAGAUACUACAAUAUGGGCCAAAGAUAUCCCUUCGAGGGAUGACACCUAUAUUGGCAGCAUGUACAAAAGAGACGUAAAACCAGCAAACACAGUCCAAAACGUGCGAUGGGGUAGUAUGGACAAUGUCCUCAACUUCCAGAGGCCUCCCAAAAGUUCUGUGAACUACGAAUACACGAAAGCAACUCAGAGCGUAUUAGAUAUUCUACCUCGAAAUCAAGACGAGAGGAUAGCGUCGCAUUUCAAACACUUAUUCCAGACUGAAUUGAUGGAAGAAGCUAGCAACGACAGAUAUAUAGCCAAUAUAUCGAGCAAUAGUAAUUUUAACGGUCGCUAUCCUCAAGACAAAUUCUGGACUGGCAUGAAGCCGGAGAAGAAUAAGGUCAAGUUCUCUGAUACAGUUACAAUUUCAGUUGUCUCCGACCCUCUGACUCCGAACCCAGCUCACGAGCUGGCCGCGAGCCUGCCGCUGUGUCCGCCGCACGCCUACCUGACCGCCUUCGCGCCGCUGCCAGCCCCGCUCCCCGCGCCGCUUGCCGCCCCGCCCGCCGCUCCGCCCCCGCCCGGUACUACGCUCGACUACGUCGAAGUGUGACGCAUGACCACUGACCACGUGUGUUAACCCUUGCACUAUCACUACCCAUAAUAUUGUAAAAGCAAAAUUUUUUCACAAACUAAGCUGAUUUCUAUUUCCAUGUUAGUGACGAUAAUGCUGCUCAGAAAGUCCCAAAAAUCAAAGUUGUACAUUUUGGAUUGGUGUAACUCUACAUUGAUAUUAUUUAGUUCAAUUUAACUUAUACCCACUGUAUUCCGUCCAUCACUUUUAUAUUUUAUAGCUUUAAAACUUAUAUUAAGACAUAAAUCAUAAUUGUAUAUUUUAAUAUGCCUAUUAUACAUCUCCAACUAAA
Maniola jurtina (meadow brown) is the source of this 2968-nucleotide RNA transcript. It is a transcript of the gene named WD repeat-containing and planar cell polarity effector protein fritz, with no coding region annotated. The transcript has 13 exons. The record is from RefSeq and is a predicted model, not a curated record. Lineage: Eukaryota; Metazoa; Arthropoda; Insecta; Lepidoptera; Nymphalidae.